UCGCGGGUCGUCCAACGGCAGGACACCUGAUUCUGGAUCAGGGAAUCGAGGUUCGAAUCCUUGCCCGCGAGC
This 72-nucleotide transfer RNA is filed under the name Catellatospora coxensis. Its description in RNAcentral is "tRNA-Gln". It matches the Rfam family "tRNA". Rfam says of the family: Transfer RNA (tRNA) molecules are approximately 80 nucleotides in length. Their secondary structure includes four short double-helical elements and three loops (D, anti-codon, and T loops). The record is from RNAcentral. Lineage: Bacteria; Bacillati; Actinomycetota; Actinomycetes; Micromonosporales; Micromonosporaceae.